GCUCCAUAAGACACGCUUUUUUCCUCCUAAAAAGUAAGGGGAAAUGUCUGUGCGUCUUAUGGAGUGAAUGCAUGGUCCCUGGAACCAAAUUGCCCAGGGGCAAAAAGCAAAUCGUGUUGGUUUUUUUUAGAAAGAGAGAAGGGGGUGUUGAAGCAAAGCUGCUGAGCAGCUGAUUGGCAAGCGAUCAGGAGGGAGAUAAGGGACUCUAGCGAUAAAGGAGGCUGCCUGGGAGGGGGGAGGUAAAAGCCCAUGGAUCCUCAGGAUUUUUGCAUUGGGUCACCCCAAAUUCACCAUCAGAUCACAUAGCAUGUCCAUGGCUACA
Molecule: long non-coding RNA, 322 nt
Organism: Podarcis raffonei (Aeolian wall lizard)
Lineage: Eukaryota; Metazoa; Chordata; Lepidosauria; Squamata; Lacertidae
Exons: 2
Source: RefSeq, a predicted model, not a curated record